GCUUCUCAUCGCUGGAGUGUGAGUAACCUGUGUUUCCCGGACCUGUUCCUGUUUUGUAUUCUGCUUCCUGAGACUGGCAGUGUGGCAUGGUGCGAGUGAAGCGAGAGCGUGAGUGUCUGAAGAGGAGCGUGGAGUGUACAUAGGAACAGAGUGUGGUGUGUGUGACCUGGAUUGUGUGCAUGGACCCUCCCCCUCCUUUCCUGGAUCCCUGGAAAACCUGACCCUCGCACUUUGUACAUAUUGCACCUGGUGUUUUGUCUAUACACUGUUGACUUUUAUUCUAAAGAGCUCUGGUCUGCGCUUGAGUCCGUUUGGUCCUGUGACAUUAUGGCUGUCUGUGAAUAUUGCAUGCCAAUAUACUCACUGUUAGAAAAUAAUAUUCAACUAGACUAUGCAAUUCCUGGGGAAUUUGCUACCGGUGGACUGUGGCUUGUGGUUAGUGGCAGCAAAAAGUUGUACCCAAAUGGCUUGCUGCUGUACCAUGAAUAAAGGUGUAUCUAGUAAAGUAGCAUAAAUUUGACAGUUCAGAUGUGUUUGUGUUACUGAUAGUGUAUGUUUAUAUUGCAAAAUGGAGAAAGAGGAGAACAAUUUUCAAAUUGCUCUGUUACCCAUACUGUAUGUUCAUACUGAGAAACCGAGAAAGACGAACUAUCUUCAUGAAAAAUGAUAUUUAGAUGAUGAUGAUAAUAAAACACAGAGGCCAUCGAAAAAAACAUAUAUGACUGAUUCUGGAUCUUACGAAGAAGGACAAGCUUAUCAUGGGCUUUCCACUUGUGUCCACCACACAAGCCAAGCU
This is a long non-coding RNA of Oreochromis niloticus (Nile tilapia), 796 nucleotides long. RefSeq lists it as uncharacterized. The record is from RefSeq and is a predicted model, not a curated record. The transcript is spliced from 2 exons. Lineage: Eukaryota; Metazoa; Chordata; Actinopteri; Cichliformes; Cichlidae.